Molecule: ribosomal RNA, 465 nt
Filed under: uncultured bacterium
Lineage: Bacteria
Description: partial 16S ribosomal RNA
Rfam family: Bacterial small subunit ribosomal RNA
Source: RNAcentral
CGGGACGCUCCAGCAGUGGGGAAUAUUGGACAAUGGGGGAAACCCUGAUCCAGCAAUGCCGCGUGUGUGAAGAAGGCCUGCGGGUUGUAAAGCACUUUCGGUUGGGAGGACUGCUUCUAGCACUAAUAUUGUUGGAAGUUGACGUUACCUUCAGAAGAAGCACCGGCUAACUCCGUGCCAGCAGCCGCGGUAAUACGGAGGGUGCAAGCGUUAAUCGGAAUUACUGGGCGUAAAGCGCGCGUAGGCGGCGAGAUCAGUCGGGUGUGAAAGCCCCGGGCUUAACCUGGGAACUGCAUCCGAUACUGUCUAGCUUGAGUACAGGAGAGGAGAGUGGAAUUCCACAUGUAGCGGUGAAAUGCGUAGAUAUGUGGAGGAACACCAAUGGCGAAGGCAGCUCUCUGGCCUGAUACUGACGCUGAGGUGCGAAAGCGUGGGGAGCUAACAGGAUUAGAUACCCGCGUAGUC